CAGCCGCCGCGGGAAUACGAGGGGGGCAAGCGUUGUUCGGAAUUAUUGGGCGUAAAGGGUGCGUAGGCGGUUUGGCAAGUUUGGUGUGAAAUCUUCGGGCUCAACUCGAAGUCUGCAUCGAAAACUGCCGGGCUUGAGUAUGGGAGAGGUGAGUGGAAUUUCCGGUGUAGCGGUGAAAUGCGUAGAUAUCGGAAGGAACACCUGUGGCGAAAGCGGCUCACUGGACCAUAACUGACGCUGAGGCACGAAAGCUAGGGGAGCAAACAGGAUUAGAUACCCCAGUAGUCCCUGUCUCUUAUAC
RNAcentral lists this ribosomal RNA (301 nucleotides) under uncultured bacterium. Its description in RNAcentral is "partial 16S ribosomal RNA". It matches the Rfam family "Bacterial small subunit ribosomal RNA", at positions 509 to 807 of the family's 1533-position model. The record is from RNAcentral.